GUUCCCUGCUAUCUCUCCCAGUGUCCUAUCACCUUUCCCAUCAAGACCAUAUCUCUGCCUGAUCACCAAGCUCUCCUUGGGCUUGAGAGAAUCAAGCUGGGAAACGGAUAAGCAGAAAGCAUGCAUUAUGUUAGAGGAGAGGUUGGACAUCAGUCUAGUUUUUAGGAUUUCCUAACCAUGACAUUGAAAGAAAAAACUACUCUAACAAAAAGCAAUGAUUUCUACAAAAUUAUUGUCAAAAUCA
Long non-coding RNA from Telopea speciosissima, 244 nucleotides. RefSeq lists it as uncharacterized. The record is from RefSeq and is a predicted model, not a curated record. NCBI's taxonomy places the organism in Eukaryota, Viridiplantae, Streptophyta, Magnoliopsida, Proteales, Proteaceae. The transcript is spliced from 2 exons.